This 520-nucleotide ribosomal RNA is filed under the name uncultured Glomus. RNAcentral's name for it is "SSU rRNA". It matches the Rfam family "Eukaryotic small subunit ribosomal RNA", at positions 569 to 1089 of the family's 1831-position model. The record is from RNAcentral. Lineage: Eukaryota; Fungi; Glomeromycota; Glomeromycetes; Glomerales; Glomeraceae.
AGCAGCCGCGGUAAUUCCAGCUCCAAUAGCGUAUAUUAAAGUUGUUGCAGUUAAAAAGCUCGUAGUUGAAUUUCGGGGUCAGCAGGUUGGUCGUGCCUCUGGUACGCACUGGUUUCGCUGAUUCCUCCUUUCUGAAGAACUGUAAUGUCAUUAAUUUGGUGUUGCAGGGAAACAGGACUGUUACUUUGAAAAAAUUAGAGUGUUUAAAGCAAGCUAACGCUUGAAUACAUUAGCAUGGAAUAAUGAAAUAGGACGUUUGAUCCUAUUUUGUUGGUUUCUAGGAUUGACGUAAUGAUUAAUAGGGAUAGUUGGGGGCAUUAGUAUUCAAUUGUCAGAGGUGAAAUUCUUGGAUUUAUUGAAGACUAACUACUGCGAAAGCAUUUGCCAAGGAUGUUUUCAUUAAUCAAAGAACGAAAGUUAAGGGGAUCGAAGACGAUCAGAUACCGUCGUAGUCUUAACCAUAAACUAUGCCGACUAGGGAUCGGAUGAUGUUAAUUUUUAAUGACUCAUUCGGCGCCUU